Molecule: ribosomal RNA, 506 nt
Filed under: uncultured bacterium
Lineage: Bacteria
Description: partial 16S ribosomal RNA
Rfam family: Bacterial small subunit ribosomal RNA
Source: RNAcentral
AGUGAACGCUGGCGGUAGGCCUAACACAUGCAAGUCGAACGGCAGCACAGAGGAGCUUGCUCCUUGGGUGGCGAGUGGCGGACGGGUGAGGAAUACAUCGGAAUCUACUCUGUCGUGGGGGAUAACGUAGGGAAACUUACGCUAACACCGCAUACGACCUACGGGUGAAAGCAGGGGACCUUCGGGCCUUGCGCGAUUGAAUGAGCCGAUGUCGGAUUAGCUAGUUGGCGGGGUAAAGGCCCACCAAGGCGACGAUCCGUAGCUGGUCUGAGAGGCUGAUCAGCCACACUGGAACUGAGACACGGUCCAGACUCCAACGGGAGGCAGCAGUGGGGAAUAUUGGACAAUGGGCGCAAGCCUGAUCCAGCCAUACCGCGUGGGUGAAGAAGGCCUUCGGGUUGUAAAGCCCUUUUGUUGGGAAAGAAAUCCAGCUGGCUAAUACCCGGUUGGGAUGACGGUACCCAAAGAAUAAGCACCGGCUAACUUCGUGCCAGCAGCCGCCGUAA